RNAcentral lists this ribosomal RNA (230 nucleotides) under uncultured fungus. RNAcentral's name for it is "partial 18S ribosomal RNA". It matches the Rfam family "Eukaryotic small subunit ribosomal RNA", at positions 1045 to 1273 of the family's 1831-position model. Lineage: Eukaryota; Fungi. The record is from RNAcentral.
ACUAGGAAUCGGGCGAUGUUAUCUUUUUGACUUCGCUCGGCACCUUACGAGAAAUCAAAGUCUUUGGGUUCUGGGGGGUGUAUGGUCGCAAGGCUGAAACUUAAAGAAAUUGACGGAAGGGCACCACCAGGAGUGGAGCCUGCGGCUUAAUUUGACUCAACACGGGGAAACUCACCAGGUCCAGACACAAUAAGGAUUGACAGAUUGAGAGCUCUUUCUUGAUUUUGUGG